Molecule: ribosomal RNA, 492 nt
Filed under: uncultured bacterium
Lineage: Bacteria
Description: partial 16S ribosomal RNA
Rfam family: Bacterial small subunit ribosomal RNA
Source: RNAcentral
AGUGAACGCUGGCGGUAGGCCUAACACAUGCAAGUCGAACGGCAGCACAGUAAGAGCUUGCUCUUACGGGUGGCGAGUGGCGGACGGGUGAGGAAUACAUCGGAAUCUACUUUUUCGUGGGGGAUAACGUAGGGAAACUUACGCUAAUACCGCAUACGACCUACGGGUGAAAGCAGGGGAUCUUCGGACCUUGCGCGAUUGAAUGAGCCGAUGUCGGAUUAGCUAGUUGGCGGGGUAAAGGCCCACCAAGGCGACGAUCCGUAGCUGGUCUGAGAGGAUGAUCAGCCACACCGGAACUGAGGCAAGGGCCAGACUCCUAAGGGAGGGAGCAGUGGGGAAUAUUGGACAAUGGGCGCAAGCCUGAACCAGCCAUACCGCGUGGGUGAAGAAGGCCUUCGGGUUGUAAAGCCCUUUUGUUGGGAAAGAAAAGCAGCAGGUUAAUACCCCGCUGUUCUGACGGUACCCAAAGAAUAAGCACCGGCUAACUUCGUG